RNAcentral lists this ribosomal RNA (232 nucleotides) under uncultured bacterium. RNAcentral's name for it is "partial 16S ribosomal RNA". It matches the Rfam family "Bacterial small subunit ribosomal RNA", at positions 99 to 334 of the family's 1533-position model. The record is from RNAcentral.
CGGACGGGUGAGUAAUGCUUGGGAAUCUAGCUUAUGGAGGGGGAUAACUACGGGAAACUGUAGCUAAUACCGCGUAGAAUCGGGAGAUGAAAGUGUGGGACCUUCGGGCCACAUGCCAUAGGAUGAGCCCAAGUGGGAUUAGGUAGUUGGUGAGGUAAAGGCUCACCAAGCCGACGAUCUCUAGCUGGUCUGAGAGGAUGACCAGCCACACUGGGACUGAGACACGGCCCAA